RNAcentral lists this ribosomal RNA (484 nucleotides) under uncultured bacterium. RNAcentral describes it as "partial 16S ribosomal RNA". It matches the Rfam family "Bacterial small subunit ribosomal RNA", at positions 30 to 506 of the family's 1533-position model. The record is from RNAcentral.
UUGAACGCUGGCGGCAUGCCUUACACAUGCAAGUCGAACGGCAGCACGGGUGCUUGCACCUGGUGGCGAGUGGCGAACGGGUGAGUAAUACAUCGGAACAUGUCCUGUAGUGGGGGAUAGCCCGGCGAAAGCCGGAUUAAUACCGCAUACGAUCUACGGAUGAAAGCGGGGGACCUUCGGGCCUCGCGCUAUAGGGUUGGCCGAUGGCUGAUUAGCUAGUUGGUGGGGUAAAGGCCUACCAAGGCGACGAUCAGUAGCUGGUCUGAGAGGACGACCAGCCACCCUGGGACUGAGACACGCCCCAGACUCCUACGGGAGGCAGCAGUGGGGAAUUUUGGACAAUGGGCGAAAGCCUGAUCCAGCAAUGCCGCGUGUGUGAAGAAGGCCUUCGGGUUGUAAAGCACUUUUGUCCGGAAAAAAAUCCUUGGCCCUAAUACGGCCGGGGGAUGACGGUACCGGAAAAAUAAGCCCCGGCUAACUACGU